AACCCAUGGUGUGGGCAUUGAGAUUGAUAUCCCUUGAACUGUUCCCAUACUUCACACAACGUCUCGCUGUUCUUCUAGGCGAAGCUUGAGAUUUCAUUCCUAAGACG
Molecule: small nucleolar RNA, 107 nt
Organism: Capsella rubella
Lineage: Eukaryota; Viridiplantae; Streptophyta; Magnoliopsida; Brassicales; Brassicaceae
Rfam family: Plant small nucleolar RNA R71
About the family: R71 is a member of the C/D box family of snoRNAs containing the C (UGAUGA) and D (CUGA) box motifs. Multiple nearly identical copies of this snoRNA have been identified in Arabidopsis, and it is thought to function as a 2'-O-ribose methylation guide for 18S ribosomal RNA.
Source: Rfam